UGGGGAAUUUUGCGCAAUGGGCGAGAGCCUGACGCAGCAACGCCGCGUGAGCGAUGAAGGCCUUCGGGUCGUAAAGCUCUGUCCUCAAGGAAGAUAAUGACGGUACUUGAGGAGGAAGCCCCGGCUAACUACGUGCCAGCAGCCGCGGUAAUACGUAGGGGGCUAGCGUUAUCCGGAAUUACUGGGCGUAAAGGGUGCGUAGGUGGUUUCUUAAGUCAGGAGUGAAAGGCUACGGCUCAACCGUAGUAAGCUCUUGAAACUGGGGAACUUGAGUGCAGGAGAGGAAAGUGGAAUUCCUAGUGUAGCGGUGAAAUGCGUAGAUAUUAGGAGGAACACCAGUAGCGAAGGCGGCUUUCUGGACUGUAACUGACACUGAGGCACGAAAGCGUGGGGAGCAAACA
RNAcentral lists this ribosomal RNA (401 nucleotides) under uncultured prokaryote. Its description in RNAcentral is "bacterial SSU rRNA". It matches the Rfam family "Bacterial small subunit ribosomal RNA", at positions 355 to 774 of the family's 1533-position model. The record is from RNAcentral.